AAGACUAUACUUUCAGGGAUCAUUUCUAUAGUUCGUUACUAUAAAAGACACCAUGGCAUUGACUGUGCAAAAUAGCACUAAUAUUCAGAUUCAGUUGGU
Small nucleolar RNA from Rattus norvegicus (Norway rat), 99 nucleotides. Ensembl annotates it as small nucleolar RNA U3. The record is from Ensembl. NCBI's taxonomy places the organism in Eukaryota, Metazoa, Chordata, Mammalia, Rodentia, Muridae.